UACGUAUGGAGCAAGCGUUAUCCGGAUUUACUGGGUGUAAAGGGAGCGCAGGCGGUCUGGCAAGUCUGAUGUGAAAGGCCGGGGCUCAACCCCGGGACUGCAUUGGAGACUGUCAGACUGGAGUGUCGGAGAGGUAUGCGGAAUUCCUAGUGUAGCGGUGAAAUGCGUAGAUAUUAGGAGGAACACCAGUGGCGAAGGCGGCUUACUGGACGAUGACUGACGCUGAGGCUCGAAAGCGUGGGGAGCAAACAGG
This 253-nucleotide ribosomal RNA is filed under the name uncultured bacterium. Its description in RNAcentral is "partial 16S ribosomal RNA". It matches the Rfam family "Bacterial small subunit ribosomal RNA", at positions 524 to 776 of the family's 1533-position model. The record is from RNAcentral.